CCUACGGGAGGCAGCAGUGGGGAAUAUUGCACAAUGGGGGAAACCCUGAUGCAGCGACGCCGCGUGCGUGAAGAAGUAUUUCGGUAUGUAAAGCUCUAUCAGCAGGGAAGAAAUAGCGACCUUUGGGUCGCCAGACGGUACCUGAUUAAGAAGCGCCGGCUAACUACGUGCCAGCAGCCGCGGUAAUACGGAGGGGGCAAGCGUUAUCCGGAUUUACUGGGUGUAAAGGGAGCGUAGACGGCAGCGCAAGUCUGAAGUGAAAUGCCGGGGCUUAACCCCGGAACUGCUUUGGAAACUGUGCAGCGAGAGUGCAGGUAAGGUAAGUGGAAUGCCUAGUGUAGCGGUGAAAUGCGUAGAUAUUAGGAGGAACACCAGUGGCGAAGGCGGCUUACUAGACUGUAACUGACAUUGAGGCUCGAAAGCGUGGGGAGCAAACAGGAUUAGAUACCCGUGUAGUC
Molecule: ribosomal RNA, 458 nt
Filed under: uncultured bacterium
Lineage: Bacteria
Description: partial 16S ribosomal RNA
Rfam family: Bacterial small subunit ribosomal RNA
Source: RNAcentral